UCUGUUCAGCUUCUGGCCUUAAAGGUGUGGUUCGGAGUAAUUUCAACCUAGGGUUCUUUACACCAUGACCUCAAGCCAAACACUUCCCCCAGAAGCUUUUUUUCCCUUGGUCAAACAUUAGGCAUGUUAG
Long non-coding RNA from Etheostoma cragini (Arkansas darter), 130 nucleotides. RefSeq lists it as uncharacterized. Lineage: Eukaryota; Metazoa; Chordata; Actinopteri; Perciformes; Percidae. The record is from RefSeq and is a predicted model, not a curated record. The transcript is spliced from 3 exons.